CAGUCGCCACGGUAAAACGAAGGGUGCAAGCGUUAAUCGGAAUUACUGGGCGUAAGGCGUGCGUAGGCGGUGAGUUAAGUCUGCUGUGAAAUCCCCGGGCUCAGCCUGGGAAUGGCAGUGGAUACUGGCUCGCUAGAGUGUGUCAGAGGAUGGUGGAAUUCCCGGUGUAGCGGUGAAAUGCGUAGAGAUCGGGAGGAACAUCAGUGGCGAAGGCGGCCAUCUGGGACAACACUGACGCUGAGGCACGAAAGCGUGGGGAGCAAACAGGAUUAGAUACCCCCGUAGUCCCUGUCUCUUAUAC
Molecule: ribosomal RNA, 301 nt
Filed under: uncultured bacterium
Lineage: Bacteria
Description: partial 16S ribosomal RNA
Rfam family: Bacterial small subunit ribosomal RNA
Source: RNAcentral